Long non-coding RNA from Anas platyrhynchos (mallard), 1166 nucleotides. RefSeq lists it as uncharacterized. NCBI's taxonomy places the organism in Eukaryota, Metazoa, Chordata, Aves, Anseriformes, Anatidae. The record is from RefSeq and is a predicted model, not a curated record.
UAUUUGCUGGGGCUUUCCCUCUGCCCCACAGCUGGGGUUGUACCAGCCACUUAGCAGUCAGGAAAGCCAAGCUAUGGACAGGGCUGGGGCAUUUUAAGAGCAGUGCAAUCAGUUCUUAUAUUGAAAUAGAUCCAAAUUAAGAGCUAGGAAAGCCUGCAUUCUUGGUGCAAUGCUGAUUGUCAGGAAGGACUCCUUGUUCCACUGCCAGGAUUAGUGCUGGCAUCGCUCCUGCCUCGGUCUGAAUGCCCUCCUCUGAGUGCGUCUCGGUCCUUUCCGGGAAGGCUGCACAUGGAGGUGGACAGGCAUCGAUUUCAUGGCCAAGAGGAGGGAGAUGUGGCCACGUGCAUCACAGGCGAGAGCCUGGAAGGGGCCCGGCAUCAACUUUCUGCAUACCUGAGAGGCUCAGGACACUGCUCUGAGGUCCUGAGUGAUGCCUCCAGCAUGGCUUCAGGCUGCUGAACACAGCCACAAAAAUUAUACCCUGUAAUUCCAGAUGGGGGGCAAACCUCAUAAAAAGGAAUUUUUUGUCUGGUGUCAUAAGGAAAUAAGGCUUCAAUCAUCUUUCUUUCCCUCACUACCUGUCCCACUGAUGACUUUGGGGUUGUUGGAUAAAUUUCACGAAUCAGAGGGACACAGGUGCCAAGGAUAAUGUAAUUCUUAAAAAAAUAGAUGUCCAAGCAUCAGAAAUUUAGUCUAUCAAUAUCCCCUCUGAGGAAGAGGCUGCAGCAUCAGCAAAACUUCCUGAGGUCUCGGGACAUAGGCGUGGGCACUGGAUGUGGGAAUGGCUCCAGCACUGGAGUUGCUGGUAGGAGCUGGUGACAUAUCAGCAGUGAUUCCAGCAGGGCUGGCCUCACAAGCAUUGUGUCCCGCAUCGGGACACCCAGCCCCAGUGGUACACACAGAAUAAGCCAGGUUUGGCUGCCACAGCAGGGCUUCUGGCUGUUUGCACCUCGAUCUUUGCUGACAGCACCUUUCCCUGCCUGUCCUUUGGGCCAACAGCAGUCCAACACCAUGAGACCCCUUUCUUUGACAAACUACCUAAUGUUCAUCCUUCCCUCUGCUUCCUAGUGGGGCCAUCUGUCUUCCUGCACGCUGGAGAUUUUCUUGGAGGCAAUAGCCUGCGUGCAGCCUCGGGAGCAGGACAAGUGCUAGCAGGCACGUACCUU